RNAcentral lists this transfer RNA (70 nucleotides) under Dipodomys ordii (Ord's kangaroo rat). It matches the Rfam family "tRNA". From Rfam's summary of the family: Transfer RNA (tRNA) molecules are approximately 80 nucleotides in length. The record is from Rfam by way of RNAcentral. Lineage: Eukaryota; Metazoa; Chordata; Mammalia; Rodentia; Heteromyidae.
GGGAAGGUGGCUCAGUGGUAGAGUACUUGCCUUGCAUGCAUGAGGCCCUGGGUUUGAUUCCUCUGUACCA